AAAUUGAAGAGUUUGAUCAUGGCUCAGAUUGAACGCUGGCGGCAGGCCUAACACAUGCAAGUCGAACGGUAACAGGAAGCAGCUUGCUGUUUCGCUGACGAGUGGCGGACGGGUGAGUAAUGUCUGGGAAACUGCCUGAUGGAGGGGGAUAACUACUGGAAACGGUAGCUAAUACCGCAUAACGUCGCAAGACCAAAGAGGGGGACCUUCGGGCCUCUUGCCAUCGGAUGUGCCCAGAUGGGAUUAGCUAGUAGGUGGGGUAACGGCUCACCUAGGCGACGAUCCCUAGCUGGUCUGAGAGGAUGACCAGCCACACUGGAACUGAGACACGGUCCAGACUCCUACGGGAGGCAGCAGUGGGGAAUAUUGCACAAUGGGCGCAAGCCUGAUGCAGCCAUGCCGCGUGUAUGAAGAAGGCCUUCGGGUUGUAAAGUACUUUCAGCGGGGAGGAAGGGAGUAAAGUUAAUACCUUUACUCAUUGACGUUACCCGCAGAAGAAGCACCGGCUAACUCCGUGCCAGCAGCCGCGGUAAUACGGAGGGUGCAAGCGUUAAUCGGAAUUACUGGGCGUAAAGCGCACGCAGGCGGUUUGUUAAGUCAGAUGUGAAAUCCCCGGGCUCAACCUGGGAACUGCAUCUGAUACUGGCAAGCUUGAGUCUCGUAGAGGGGGUAGAAUUCCAGUGUGUAGCGGUGAAAUGCGUAGAGAUCUGGAGGAAUACCGGUGGCGAAGGCGGCCCCUGGACGAAGACUGACGCUCAGGUGCGAAAGCGUGGGGAGCAAACAGGAUUAGAUACCCCUGGUAGUCCACGCCGUAAACGAUGUCGACUUGGAGGUUGUGCCCUUGAGGUGUGGCUUCCGGAGCUAACGCGUUAAGUCGACCGCCUGGGAGUACGGCCGCAAGGUUAAAACUCAAAUGAAUUGACGGGGGCCCGCACAAGCGGUGGAGCAUGUGGUUUAAUUCGAUGCAACGCGAAGAACCUUACCUGGUCUUGACAUCCACGGAAGUUUUCAGAGAUGAGAAUGUGCCUUCGGGAACCGUGAGACAGGUGCUGCAUGGCUGUCGUCAGCUCGUGUUGUGAAAUGUUGGGUUAAGUCCCGCAACGAGCGCAACCCUUAUCCUUUGUUGCCAGCGGUCCGGCCGGGAACUCAAAGGAGACUGCCAGUGAUAAACUGGAGGAAGGUGGGGAUGACGUCAAGUCAUCAUGGCCCUUACGACCAGGGCUACACACGUGCUACAAUGGCGCAUACAAAGAGAAGCGACCUCGCGAGAGCAAGCGGACCUCAUAAAGUGCGUCGUAGUCCGGAUUGAGUCUGCAACUCGACUCCAUGAAGUCGGAAUCGCUAGUAAUCGUGGAUCAGAAUGCCACGGUGAAUACGUUCCCGGGCCUUGUACACACCGCCCGUCACACCAUGGGAGUGGGUUGCAAAAGAAGUAGGUAGCUUAACCUUCGGGAGGGCGCUUACCACUUUGUGAUUCAUGACUGGGGUGAAGUCGUAACAAGGUAACCGUAGGGGAACCUGCGGUUGGAUCACCUCCUUA
RNAcentral lists this ribosomal RNA (1540 nucleotides) under Shigella flexneri. RNAcentral's name for it is "bacterial SSU rRNA". It matches the Rfam family "Bacterial small subunit ribosomal RNA". Lineage: Bacteria; Pseudomonadati; Pseudomonadota; Gammaproteobacteria; Enterobacterales; Enterobacteriaceae. The record is from RNAcentral.